CUGGAUACAAUAGAAACAUCAACCUUUUAUUAUGACAACAAAACCCUCAAGUAGUUUGACAUAUUUAACCACAGCCUCUGAGGCUACUGACAGUGCAGUAAAAUCAAGCAAUAGUAGAAAUGUCUGGACACAUAUUGACAUUAGAACAGCCUGUCAUUGUGUAAGGACUAAACUGUACUAAAAUGAAUUCAAUCAACUUUCUUAACAUAUCAGACCUAACAAAAAACAUUUCUUGGCAGUGUGAUAAACAAAUAAAUACCCAAAGUCUACCUUACACUAACCUUGAUUUUAUAACACUGUGGCAUUAAGUUACUUCUUUUAUUCCCCCUGAAUAGCAUUGCUAUAGAAUUAAGUCUGGCAGAAACCAACACAGGAUUGACUGACAUUAAGUUAAGACUCCAGCAGUAUGGGGGGAAAAAAAUCUUUGUAAAUUUCUUUCUAACAACAAAUGGUCACUUGUUAAACAAGUGGAAACAUCAAAUAAUAUGUACAAGUAACAUGUUUGUCUAUCAUACAUCUACAAAGGAAAAAAAUCAUUUAAAUCUCCCCCCCCCCCCCCC
Biomphalaria pfeifferi is the source of this 560-nucleotide non-coding RNA. Lineage: Eukaryota; Metazoa; Mollusca; Gastropoda; Planorbidae. The record is from the annotation of a GenBank genome assembly.